Molecule: small nuclear RNA, 103 nt
Organism: Microcebus murinus (gray mouse lemur)
Lineage: Eukaryota; Metazoa; Chordata; Mammalia; Primates; Cheirogaleidae
Source: Ensembl
GUACUCAUCUCAGCAACACAUAUACUAAAAAUUGGAACAAUACAGAGAUUAGCAUGGCCCCUAUACAGACGAUGCACAAAUUCAUGAAGCAUUCCAUAUUUUA